CAGAGCAGAACAACCAGAGUAGAGAUGCCUAAAAAUCCAACCUAUCUGUAAGCUCCUGUAGACAGUCUCAAACCUUCGGGAGGAUGGGAUUUUUCUGGAUUUGGCUGCCAAUAAUCCUGCCAUCCGAUUGGUGGAGCUGUCCCAGGAAGCUGUUCAGGUUGUACUGAAAGUCCUACCGUUUCUGAAAGAUGGGAUUUCUUGCUGUCUAUUUGCCAUUAUUAAUUCCAUCUCAUCAGUGGAGCUGACCUUUGGACGUGUUAAGUUCAACAUUAAUGUGUCAGUCCCAAUUCCUCCUCCUCUUGCUUUUGGGCCUGUUGAUUUUAACAUCACAUUGAUGGACCAGACCUUUGGAGGUCUUCAGUUCAAAGUUGACAUCUCAAGAGCAGCAAUGCAGCAGCACAAACAGAUGAAGAGGAUGGUACAGGGCUGGAGGUCUCUCCUGGAUGGAUGGAGGAAUCAAGGCCAAGUUUCUGAUCAUUUGCACUUGGAAUAAUUAGGAAUCAGACCAACCUGCUGCAUCAAUACAAAGCCUGGAGAUGCUUGGAAAUAAAAUAUGAAGAACUGGAGGAUAAAUAAAGAUUGUUGAAAAAUAUUACAUAUCAAAGAACGGGAUAAGUAGCAAGUGUGAAAACAUCUGAUAUUUAAUUUGUAACUAUUACAUAUGUUCCUUAAAUAUUAGAAUCAUUGUUUGAAAUAUUAGUGAGGUCCUGUCAGCUAACAACUAAAUUUAAUGAUCUAAAUAUUUGGGUUAAUGUUAAUUGGAUAAAAAAUCAUUAUUCUGUUCUUUGACUUGCAUGCAACUAUUAGAUAAACAGAACUUGCAGUGAAGUUUAGUUGUUGUCAAAAGGUACACGCUAAUACAUAACAGCAUUCAGACAUAUGCCUAGUUUAAUAAAACAUUUCACCGAUUCUUAAAAACUUAAUUGCUGAAUUUGUUAAGCUUUAUCUUUAUAAGUGUUAACAUGACAGUAAUGAGAAAAUGGCUUUAUUAUGACCUUUAGUACCACUGGCGUAAUUCACUGCAUUAUUUCCUUAAUUAAAACAUUAAUAGACCAGAUAGAACAAAUAAAUCUGUCUUGAUAACACAACUCAAUGCAAUCAACAGUUCACUGUUGCUAUGUGUUCUGGAGGGAAAGUCAGGGUUUCUACCAACUGGAAUGAUAAACUGAACUUUACUGGAUUGUUUAAUGACUAGGAUUGAAUUGGAUUGCUGGUAGUUGACUACAUGAUUGGUUAAUAUUCACUGCAUAUUUCUAGAUAAAAUGUUUUGUAAUUGUUAUGAAUCAGAGUUUAGAAAUAAACUGAAUUAAAUAA
Molecule: long non-coding RNA, 1314 nt
Organism: Girardinichthys multiradiatus
Lineage: Eukaryota; Metazoa; Chordata; Actinopteri; Cyprinodontiformes; Goodeidae
Exons: 6
Source: RefSeq, a predicted model, not a curated record